This 757-nucleotide ribosomal RNA is filed under the name uncultured Glomus. RNAcentral describes it as "eukaryotic LSU rRNA". It matches the Rfam family "Eukaryotic large subunit ribosomal RNA", at positions 38 to 648 of the family's 3401-position model. Lineage: Eukaryota; Fungi; Glomeromycota; Glomeromycetes; Glomerales; Glomeraceae. The record is from RNAcentral.
GCAUAUCAAUAAGCGGAGGAAAAGAAAAUAACAAUUUAUUCCCCUAGUAACGGCGAGCGAAGAGGGAAUAGCUCAAAUUUUAAAUCUGUUGGGUCUUACCUAACCGAGUUGUAAUUUGAAGAAGCGUUUUCAGCGUGUUUGAUUUAGCCCAAAUCCUUUGGGAUAAGGUAUCAUGGAGGGUGAGAAUCCCGUCCGGCAUAAUCAAAUGUGCGUUACGAUACGUUUUCUAAGAGUCGAGUUGUUUGGGAUUGCAGCUCAAAAUGGGAGGUAAAUUUCUCCUAAGGCUAAAUAUUGGCGAGAGACCGAUAGCGAACAAGUACCGUGAGGGAAAGAUGAAAAGAACUUUGAAAAGAGAGUUAAACAGUACGUGAAAUUGUUGAAAGGGAAACGAUUAAAGUCAGUCGUACUAACGGGGAAUCAACCUUUUGAGGGUGGAAUUGUGGGAUUCAAAGGGCCUUUGUUUUUCGCAACCUGCUUUUUUUGGGUGCAGUUUCUCGUAUUGUAGGUCAGCAUCGGUUUCGACCGUUAUAAAAUGACUGGAGGAAUGUAGCUUCGAUCUUGUAUUGAAGUGUUAUAGCCUUUGGUAGACGUAACGGAUGGGAUCGAGGAUUGCAAUGAAUACCCACAUGGGCUAUCCGCCUGGCCUCUGACAUGUCACUAUGGUGCUGAAAGCUUGCUUAUGGUAUUAUAGUGUACGGUCAAAAGGUUAGAACGGAUUAAAUUCGUUAAGGAUGUUGACGUAAUGGCUUUAAACGAC